AGAAAUGCUCCACUCCAGGCAGCCAAACCCAGGAUCCAUCUGGUAGACAUGUUAGUCAGUGACCCCAACAGCUCAGCACAUUUCUACCUAUUGAGAUAGAGUAAAAAUGACUCCUACAGCCCUAAAGUUCAGUUUUAUAACACAGAGGAUGAUGUAAUUGAAACCAAGCCCCCAAAGCCACACUGGUAUGGAGGAUGAAAGUGCAACCAUGGAGGAAAGGCAAACAACAAACAGAGGGGCAUGGAGCAUAUUCCUAGAGAAUAAUGAACAUAAAAUGUCACAAGGCGUACAGGGAUUGAAGAGCAUUGAUUACACAGAACAGAAGCUGAUACAAAUAAGACUG
Molecule: long non-coding RNA, 343 nt
Filed under: Phascolarctos cinereus (koala)
Lineage: Eukaryota; Metazoa; Chordata; Mammalia; Diprotodontia; Phascolarctidae
Description: lncRNA (ENSPCIG00000031799.1)
Source: RNAcentral